CUACAUGCAGUCGACGGUCUCUUCGGAGGCAGUGGCAGACGGGUGAGUAACGCGUGGGAAUCUACCUAGUUCUACGGAACAACAGUUGGAAACGACUGCUAAUACCGCAUACGCCCCACGGGGGAAAGAUUUAUCGGAAUUAGAUGAGCCCGCGUAAGAUUAGCUAGUUGGUGGGGUAAUGGCCUACCAAGGCGACGAUCUUUAGCUGGUCUGAGAGGAUGAUCAGCCACACUGGGACUGAGACACGGCCCAGACUCCUACGGGAGGCAGCAGUGGGGAAUAUUGGACAAUGGGCGCAAGCCUGAUCCAGCCAUGCCGCGUGAGUGAUGAAGGCCUUAGGGUUGUAAAGCUCUUUCAGUAGGGAAGAUAAUGACGGUACCUACAGAAGAAGCCCCGGCUAACUUCGUGCCAGC
This 413-nucleotide ribosomal RNA is filed under the name uncultured bacterium. Its description in RNAcentral is "bacterial SSU rRNA". It matches the Rfam family "Bacterial small subunit ribosomal RNA", at positions 51 to 512 of the family's 1533-position model. The record is from RNAcentral.